Long non-coding RNA from Plectropomus leopardus (leopard coralgrouper), 198 nucleotides. RefSeq lists it as uncharacterized. The record is from RefSeq and is a predicted model, not a curated record. Lineage: Eukaryota; Metazoa; Chordata; Actinopteri; Perciformes; Serranidae.
CCGCCUAGUGUACCGGAGAUGGUAGAGGCUCGUCAGUGUAAGACAGAACAUGGAGAAGGUGGCACGCAGCGGUCAGGACAGAGACCAGGCUGCAGCACUGACCAUCAGCCUGAGGCUUCACAGGACACUCUGUGUUCCACCCAUCCGCCUUAUCAACCUGCUGCAGAUCUGUGCAGCCGGCUGCCAGUGGCCUGAUAC